Oncorhynchus keta (chum salmon) is the source of this 2294-nucleotide long non-coding RNA. RefSeq lists it as uncharacterized. The record is from RefSeq and is a predicted model, not a curated record. NCBI's taxonomy places the organism in Eukaryota, Metazoa, Chordata, Actinopteri, Salmoniformes, Salmonidae. The transcript is spliced from 3 exons.
UCUGAACACCAACGAUCUAGCUGAGUGUUUUUGUCACGUUCUGACCAUAGUUCUUGUGUGUUUUCCUUGUUUUAGUGUUGGCCAGGACGUGAGCUGGGUGGGCAUUCUAUGUUGUGUGUCUAGUUUGUCCUUUUCUAUGUAUGGCCUGAUAUGGUUCUCAAUCAGAGGCAGGUGUUAGUCAUUGUCUCUGAUUGGGAACCAUAUUUAGGUAGCCUGUUUUGUGUUGGGUUUUGUGGGUGGUUGUUUCCUGUUUUUGUGUUCUCUGCACCAGAUAGGACUGUGUUGGGUUUUGUGGGUGGUUGUUACCUGUCUUUGUGUUCUCUGCACCAGAUAGGACUGUGUUGGGUUUUGUGGGUGGUUGUUUCCUGUCUCUGUGUUCUCUGCACCAGAUAGGUCUGUGUUGGGUUUUGUGGGUGGUUGUUUCCUGUCUUUGUGUUCUCUGCACCAGAUGGGGUUUUGUGGGUGGUUGUUUCCUGUCUUUGUGUUCUCUGCACCAGAUAGGACUGUGUUGGGGUUUGUGGGUGGUUGUUACCUGUCUUUGUGUUCUCUGCACCAGAUAGGACUGUGUUGGGGUUUUGUGGGUGGUUGUUACCUGUCUUUGUGUUCUCUGCACCAUAUGGGGUUUUGUGGGUGGUUGUUUCUUGUCUUUGUGUUCUCUGCACCAGAUAGGUCUGUGUUGGGUUUUGUGGGUGGUUGUUACCUGUCUUUGUGUUCUCUGCAUCAGAUGGGGUUUUGUGGGUGGUUGUUUCCUGUCUUUGUGUUCUCUGCACCAGAUAGUACUGUGUUGGGGUUUGUGGGUGGUUGUUACCUGUCUUUGUGUUCUCUGCACCAGAUAGGUCUGUGUUGGGUUUUGUGGGUGGUUGUUUCCUGUCUUUGUGUUCUCUGCACCAGAUAGGACUGUGUUGGGGUUUGUGGGUGGUUGUUACCUGUCUUUGUGUUCUCUGCACCAGAUAGGACUGUGUUGGGGUUUGUGGGUGGUUGUUACCUGUCUUUGUGUUCUCUGCACCAGAUAGGUCUGUGUUGGGAUUUUGUGGGUGGUUGUUUCCUGUCUCUGUGUUCUCUGCACCAGAUAGGACUGUGUUGGUUUGUGGGUGGUUGUUUCCUGUCUUUGUGUUCUCUGCACCAGAUAGGACUGUGUUGGGUUUUGUGGGUGGUUACCUGUCUUUGUGUUCUCUGCACCAGAUAGGACUGUGUUGGGGUUUGUGGGUGGUUGUUUCCUGUCUUUGUGUUCUCUGCACCAGAUAGGUCUGUGUUGGGGUUUGUGGGUGGUUACCUGUCUUUGUGUUCUAUGCACCAGAUAGGACUGUGUUGGGGUUUGUGGGUGGUUGUUUCCUGUCUUUGUGUUCUCUGCACCAGAUAGGUCUGUGUUGGGUUUUGUGGGUGGUUGUUACCUGUCUUUGUGUUCUCUGCACCAGAUGGGGUUUUGUGGGUGGUUGUUUCCUGUCUUUGUGUUCUCUGCACCAGAUAGGUCUGUUGGGUUUUGUGGGUGGUUGUUACCUGUCUUUGUGUUCUCUGCACCAGAUGGGGUUUUGUGGGUGGUUGUUACCUGUCUUUGUGUUCUCUGCACCAGAUAGGUCUGUGUUGGGGUUUGUGGGUGGUUGUUUCCUGUCUUUGUGUUCUCUGCACCAGUUAGGUCUGUUGGGUUUUGUGGGUGGUUGUUACCUGUCUUUGUGUUCUCUGCACCAGAUGGGGUUUUGUGGGUGGUUGUUACCUGUCUUUGUGUUCUCUGCACCAGAUAGGUCUGUGUUGGGGUUUGUGGGUGGGGUUUGUGGGUGGUUGUUUCCUGUCUUUGUGUUCUCUGCACCAGAUAGGUCUGUGUUGGGGUUUGUGGGUGGUUACCUGUCUUUGUGUUCUCUGCACCAGAUAGGACUGUGUUGGGGUUUGUGGGUGGUUGUUACCUGUCUUUGUGUUCUCUGCACCAGAUAGGUCUGUGUUGGGGUUUUGUGGGUGGUUGUUUCCUGUCUCUGUGUUCUCUGCACCAGAUAGGUCUGUGUUGGGGUUUGUGGGUGGUUACCUGUCUUUGUGUUCUCUGCACCAGAUAGGACUGUGUUGGGGUUUGUGGGUGGUUGUUACCUGUCUUUGUGUUCUCUGCACCAGAUAGGUCUGUGUUGGGGUUUUGUGGGUGGUUGUUUCCUGUCUCUGUGUUCUCUGCACCAGAUAGGACUGUGUUGGUUUGUGGGUGGUUGUUUCCUGUCUUUGUGUUCUCUGCACCAGAUAGGACUGUGUUGGGUUUUGUGGGUGGUUGUUACCUGUCUUUGUGUCCUCUGCACCAGAUAGGUCUGUGUUGGUGUUUG